This 298-nucleotide long non-coding RNA is filed under the name Homo sapiens (human). Its description in RNAcentral is "non-protein coding lnc-PTS-2:4". The record is from RNAcentral. Lineage: Eukaryota; Metazoa; Chordata; Mammalia; Primates; Hominidae.
AUGGGCAGCAAGAUGCAUCUGCUAGCAGUGUCGUUCAGGUAGUCAAGCCACAUGCUCCAUUAAUAAGCUUCCCUGCUGGAAGAGACAAUCCUAAACCCAAUGUACCAGAAGCUCUGAGAUCAGCAGGGCAACCAUCUCACGAUUCUGCAAUUUCCCAGCAUUCUAAGGGAAGUAAAUUACUGGAUUUGUGGAUGUACCAGACACUGCAGAAGUAAUGAAAACAUUACCUCAGAAAUAUAGAAGUAAACUUGUGUCUCAAGAAGAAAUUGAAUUUGUCCAUUGUGGAGAUCCAGAAUAA